UGAGUAACGCGUAUGCAACCUACCUAUCAGAGGGGAAUAACCCGGCGAAAGUCGGACUAAUACCGCAGUAAAACAGGGGCACCGCAUGGUGAUAUUUGUUAAAGGAAUUCGCUGAUAGAUGGGCAUGCGUUCCAUUAGGUAGUUGGUGAGGUAACGGCUCACCAAGCCGACGAUGGAUAGGGGAACUGAGAGGUUGGUCCCCCCACACUGGUACUGAGACACGGACCAGACUCCUACGGGAGGCAGCAGUGAGGAAUAUUGGUCAAUGGGCGGGAGCCUGAACCAGCCAAGUCGCGUAGAAGGAAGAAGGAUCUAUGGUUCGUAAACUUCUUUUGCAGGGGAAUAAAGUGCAGGACGUGUCCUGUUUUGUAUGUACCCUGAGAAUAAGGAUCGGCUAACUCCGUGCCAGCAGCCGC
Molecule: ribosomal RNA, 416 nt
Filed under: uncultured bacterium
Lineage: Bacteria
Description: bacterial SSU rRNA
Rfam family: Bacterial small subunit ribosomal RNA
Source: RNAcentral